RNAcentral lists this ribosomal RNA (454 nucleotides) under uncultured Pseudomonas sp. RNAcentral's name for it is "bacterial SSU rRNA". It matches the Rfam family "Bacterial small subunit ribosomal RNA", at positions 927 to 1382 of the family's 1533-position model. Lineage: Bacteria; Pseudomonadati; Pseudomonadota; Gammaproteobacteria; Pseudomonadales; Pseudomonadaceae. The record is from RNAcentral.
AAGCGGUGGAGCAUGUGGUUAAUUCGAAGCAACGCGAAGAACCUUACCAGGCCUUGACAUGCAGAGAACUUUCCAGAGAUGGAUUGGUGCCUUCGGGAACUCUGACACAGGUGCUGGCAUGGCUGUGUCAGCUCGUGUCGUGAGAUGUUGGGUUAAGUCCGUAACGAGCGCAACCCUUGUCCUUAGUUACCAGCACGUUAUGGUGGGCACUCUAAGGAGACUGCCGGUGACAAACCGGAGGAAGGUGGGGAUGACGUCAAGUCAUCAUGGCCCUUACGGCCUGGGCUACACACGUGCUACAAUGGUCGGUACAAAGGGUUGCCAAGCCGCGAGGUGGAGCUAAUCCCAUAAAACCGAUCGUAGUCCGGAUCGCAGUCUGCAACUCGACUGCGUGAAGUCGGAAUCGCUAGUAAUCGUGAAUCAGAAUGUCACGGUGAAUACGUUCCCGGGCCUU